RNAcentral lists this ribosomal RNA (488 nucleotides) under uncultured bacterium. RNAcentral's name for it is "partial 16S ribosomal RNA". It matches the Rfam family "Bacterial small subunit ribosomal RNA", at positions 28 to 507 of the family's 1533-position model. The record is from RNAcentral.
GACGAACGCUGGCGGCGUGCUUAACACAUGCAAGUCGAACGGAAAGGCCCUGCUUUUGUGGGGUGCUCGAGUGGCGAACGGGUGAGUAACACGUGAGUAACCUGCCCUUGACUUUGGGAUAACUUCAGGAAACUGGGGCUAAUACCGGAUAGGAGCUCCUGCUGCAUGGUGGGGGUUGGAAAGUUUCGGCGGGUGGGGAUGGACUCGCGGCUUAUUAGCUUGUUGGUGGGGUAGUGGCUUACCAAGGCUUUGACGGGUAGCCGGCCUGAGAGGGUGACCGGCGACAGUGGAACGGGGACGCGGGCAAGGGUCCUACGGGAGGCAGCAGUGGGGAAUAUGGGACAAUGGGCGGAAGCCUGACCCAGCCAUACCGCGUGGGUGAAGAAGGCCUUCGGGGUGUAAAGCCCUUUUGGUGGGAAAGAAAAGCAGCAGGUGAAUACCCCGCUGUACGGACGGGAACCAAAGAAUAAGCACCGGCUAACUUCGUG